CUUUUUCCUGUGCUGUGUCUGGCUAUAUUUGAGUAUUGUCACUUUCCACCCUCCACUGACUCUACUAGGGGUGUCCCUAGUACCCUCAUUAUUGCUGUCUCCACCUCUGGGGGUCACUGAUGCCUUGCUCUUGCCAGUGUCACUGCAGUCACUGGCCUCGCCACCAGGGGCACAGUAAAGGGAGGAUGCCUCUGUCACGUCCAGGAUCACCUGAGUCAUAAGAACUGCCUCCAUGGACACAAUUGGAAACAUUGGUUAUGCUACCAAGGCUUUGACUGGAAUGUUUUCUUUGAGAGAGACAAACAUAGACUCAGAUAUGACCAGAC
Molecule: long non-coding RNA, 326 nt
Filed under: Equus caballus (horse)
Lineage: Eukaryota; Metazoa; Chordata; Mammalia; Perissodactyla; Equidae
Description: lncRNA (ENSECAG00000056011.1)
Source: RNAcentral